GUCGAGCGGUAGCACAGGAGAGCUUGCUCUCUGGGUGACGAGCGGCGGACGGGUGAGUAAUGUCUGGGAAACUGCCUGAUGGAGGGGGAUAACUACUGGAAACGGUAGCUAAUACCGCAUANNNUCUACGGACCAAAGUGGGGGACCUUCGGGCCUCAUGCCAUCAGAUGUGCCCAGAUGGGAUUAGCUAGUAGGUGGGGUAAUGGCUCACCUAGGCGACGAUCCCUAGCUGGUCUGAGAGGAUGACCAGCCACACUGGAACUGAGACACGGUCCAGACUCCUACGGGAGGCAGCAGUGGGGAAUAUUGCACAAUGGGCGCAAGCCUGAUGCAGCCAUGCCGCGUGUGUGAAGAAGGCCUUCGGGUUGUAAAGCACUUUCAGCGAGGAGGAAGGGNNNNGUGUUAAUAGCACUGUGCAUUGACGUUACUCGCAGAAGAAGCACCGGCUAACUCCGUGCCAGCAGCCGCGGUAAUACGGAGGGUGCAAGCGUUAAUCGGAAUUACUGGGCGUAAAGCGCACGCAGGCGGUUUGUUAAGUCAGAUGUGAAAUCCCCGCGCUUAACGUGGGAACUGCAUUUGAAACUGGCAAGCUAGAGUCUUGUAGAGGGGGGUAGAAUUCCAGGUGUAGCGGUGAAAUGCGUAGAGAUCUGGAGG
Molecule: ribosomal RNA, 654 nt
Filed under: uncultured bacterium
Lineage: Bacteria
Description: bacterial SSU rRNA
Rfam family: Bacterial small subunit ribosomal RNA
Source: RNAcentral